UACGGAGGGUGCAAGCGUUAAUCGGAAUUACUGGGCGUAAAGCGCACGCAGGUGGCUGAGUCAGUCGAUUGUGAAAGCCCUGGGCUUAACCUGGGAAUUGCAGUCGAUACUACUCGGCUAGAGUAUGGGAGAGGGCAGUGGAAUUCCCGGUGUAGCGGUGAAAUGCGUAGAUAUCGGGAGGAACAUCAGUGGCGAAGGCGGCUCUCUGGACCACAACUGACGCUGAGGCGCGAAAGCUAGGGGAGCAAACAGG
This 253-nucleotide ribosomal RNA is filed under the name uncultured prokaryote. Its description in RNAcentral is "partial 16S ribosomal RNA". It matches the Rfam family "Bacterial small subunit ribosomal RNA", at positions 524 to 776 of the family's 1533-position model. The record is from RNAcentral.